This is a long non-coding RNA of Symphalangus syndactylus (siamang), 2415 nucleotides long. RefSeq lists it as uncharacterized. Lineage: Eukaryota; Metazoa; Chordata; Mammalia; Primates; Hylobatidae. The record is from RefSeq and is a predicted model, not a curated record.
GGACUUCAUCUUAGGCACUCUGGAACCCCAGAGUUAGCACAGGGCUCGGCACAUCAAAGACGCUCAAUAGGUAUUUGUAGAAUGUACACACAAAUCUUGGAAAGGUGGGCAGGGAUGCUGUGUGUCCUGGGGCCAGGAAGCCACCUCUCUGAGUCUCCCUUUCCUCACCCGUCAAAAAGAGGUAACAGCAGCUCUUGCAAAGGCUGAGGAGCAGAUGAAAGGAGACCACACCCUGCAAAGGCACUGUGAGCUGGUGAGGGGGUGCAGCGAUGUCACAGUUCCUACAGCCCGGCCUGCAAAUCUGGCCACAGCUGCCAGUCAACAGCCCAGGCUCGGCUAAGGGUGCCGUAACUUGGUGCCCACCUUGGAUUUUCACACCCAGCUGGCUACUGGCCACCAGAUGGCAUAGAAGAGACAGAGUCUUGUGAUAUUGCCUAGGCUGGUCUUGAACUCCUGGCUUCAAGUAAUCCUCCCGCUUCAGUCUCCGGGAUCUUUCCAGUGCCGGACUAGGAAUGGCAGAACCUACUAGUUGCCCACCCAGUAUCCAUCCUCCACCUCCUCCUUGCGAACAGAACCCCAGUUUUGCUCACAGGUGGCCAUAUGCCCAGAUAAAAACACUCACAUUCUCGACUCCCUUGCAGUUAGCAGCAGCCAUGUGACCUGGUCUGUACAAUGAGAUGCAGGUGGAAGUCCCUGGGCAGGGAAUUUCUUUUCACUCCCUCAAAUAUCAAAGUGCCCAGAAAAGAAGACUUUUGUGUUUUUGUUUUGCUUUUGCCCUUUGCCCUUAAAAAAAAAUUCCUGCCUGGGUGAGACUCCAUCUCAAUCAAAAAAAAAAAAAUUUCCUGCCUCGAAUGUGGACUUGAUGCCUGGAGGUGGAGGAGCAGCCACCUUGAGACCGUAAGUGUCACAGACACGUACUCAGAAUGGGGGAAACGAAAGAAAGAUGCUUGAGUCCUUCAGCAGCAGCACCAGUGCGGGGCUGCCCAGCUCUGGACUUACUGUGUUUGUUCAAGCCAUUGUUUGCUGGAUUUUUCUCAUCCUUGCAGCUACAUGCCUUCCUAACUGAAACUGUGCCUAAAUAAGCAUUUGUAUUUAUCUAUGUUCUUCCCCACUAAAAUGGUAGCAUAUACUCCACCUACCCUUCAGGAUCUUACGUCUUCACUUAACAAUAUAUCUUGGAGGUUGUUACAAAUAGGUACACACAGAGCUGCCCUGAACUUUUAAAUGAAUGUGUCUAAGACCUUGCACAGAUGCUUCCUAGAGCGUUCCACCAGGUCCCUGUUGGUGUGGGUCGUUCUCAACUUCUUGCUAUCACAGAUAAUACUGCAGAGACAAAACAGGGACAUUGUUCAUAUCCCACAUGUGAGGGUUUGUCUUCAGAAGAAUUGCUGAAUGCAAGGGCAGAUGCUUUUUCAGUGUUCUUAGAUUUUGUCAAAUUUCCCUGCAAAGAGGUCUGGCUGACGUGCAUUCCACCACCAAUGUGGGAGUGCACCCACACGUUGUCUCUAAUCCUUUCAACAACAAACUAUGAUGGUGUCCAUUUUGCUGAGGCUCAGAGAAUUGUACAUCGCCUGCCCAAAGUCAUCACAGGCAACUGAUGAGAUGGGGAUUUGUACCAGGGUCUGUCUGAUGUCAAAGCUGUGCUUGUAAACACAUGACAUUGCUUUUCAGGCAGGCUGGAUUCCAGAGACUCUCAGAAAAGAGGGAAGAACGAAUCUGACCCAGGCGCUGGUCUGUACCUGAGAAGAGCCUUUGGGCUGGGCUGUGGGGAGGCCCGUGUUUGUCCUGGGCUGCAUCCCAGCUCAGGUCUGUCACGGCCUUGCUGUGUGAGCAAGUCCUGCCCCCUACCCUCUCUCUGGGCCUCAGUCUUUCCACCUGUCAAAUGGAUGGCUUGGAGUUGCUGGUUCCUAAAAUCCUUUAAUGUUAGGCUUCUUGAAAAUCCCCAAGUCUGAGGGUCUUUUGGGAGCUGCUUUUCAGACCUCAAAAUGGAAACAGUGAUUUUUCCUCUAUUCCUGACCGAGCAGAGGUCAGCAGCGUCAGGGGCAUCUAUUUCUAUCUGCGGACUGAGGUCACAUUCCCUGGGGGAGGCUGGGCCACGGUGGGGCAACAGUCCACUGCUCUGUUUUCUCUGUAGGGCACAUCUUCUCCCAGCUCUGACAGCCAGAUUCUGAGGACAAAUAUUCCAGUUAUGGUUUCAUAUACUGAGUGUUUUCUGAAGUGAUUUACAUAUCUAAUCUGGAAGAGAGGGACUACUCUUAUCCCCAUUUUACAGAUAAGGCAACAGGGGCACAGAGAGAUCGAUCAACUUGCCUGAGGUCAUUCGGCCAGUAAGUGGCAGCCAGGAUUUGGCCCCAGGAAGCCUGGUGCAAGAAUCUGUGCCCUUCACCGAGCAUUUCUCAACCUCGACCUAUUGGC